UGGCGUACGGGUGAGUAACACGUGGAUUAUCUACCUUCUAGUGGGGAAUACCUCCGGGAAACUGGAGACAAUACCGCAUAAGCUCGUAAGAGGAAAGCAGCAAUGCGCUGGAAGAGGAGUCCGCGGCUGAUUAGCUAGUUGGCGGGGUAAUGGCCCACCAAGGCGACGACGGGUAGCUGGUCUGAGAGGAUGGCCAGCCACAUUGGGACUGAGAGACGGCCCAG
Molecule: ribosomal RNA, 224 nt
Filed under: uncultured bacterium
Lineage: Bacteria
Description: partial 16S ribosomal RNA
Rfam family: Bacterial small subunit ribosomal RNA
Source: RNAcentral